GGGGCUGGGCCGGGGCCAUCAUGGCGUCUGCCAUGAGCUCCUCUGUUCUCAGAGUGGGCACAAUCGGCUCGGCUUUUUUCCAUUGUACUGCCAAAAUUCACCGAUUUUGAGCACCAAAGGGAGCUUUUCAGAGGGAAUACAGAGGACUUAGGUAUGGCAGGGAUUGUGAAAGAUGUGGUUUGCAGAGGAGCCUGGCCAGGGCUGGUCUGCUCCCCUCUCUCCCGGGACGGGGGUGGGGAAGGGGGAGGGCGGCUAGCCUGGCCACCUCCCGGCCACUCCUCUGGGGUUUCUGGUUCUCAAGUGGAAUAAGGGAAGGCUUCUGGGUCCCCUCAGAACUCCUCUUUCUCCUCUCCUCCCGGUCCUGCUGUUGCUGCCUGCAUUCUGCCCUGUCCCUGAUCUUUGCUUGCUUGUGUGCAUUCUUUGCUUGCUUUGCACUUUCCAUUGUUACAAAUUUUAAGACCGUCCUGAAUAUUGGACGCAGCUUUAAGUUGGACUUCUUAUUCUUUUCCAUGUUAUGUAAUUUCAGUCCAACCGAAUCCCGGAAUUCUGGAUCGAGUUUCUGAGACAUGUCUGAGUUUGGGAACUCUGUUAAGACCCAUUUUACAAGCUUUUUAAACUGUUUGUUGUCAAACUGAAUAUCUUGAAUUUCUAACUUAUAAUUGAAAUAUGAAAAAAAAAUCCUGCUCAGCUAAAGACAACCAAUUUCCCAUGGUGGCACUCACCAGAGUUUUCCAGUUGUGCUUCUUGGUAUGAAAUUCCUCCCCGGUCCUGGGUCACAACAGUGACAAAUCAGCUGAGCUGAGCGGCAGAGUCCUCUGAGGCUGCGGUGCUGCUCCAGUCCCGUCUCUGAUUACAGCCUCCUCUUCACCAGUAUGAGGCUUUGAUUCCAGAUUCCCUCUCAAUCUCAAAUGCCUUCUUCUGGGUUUUCUAUUUUAAAGCGACAAAAAACUCAGGUGCAGGCCUGCUCCCCCAAAACACGCAAAUAUCAAGUAAAAAUGUCCUAUUUUGAUGGAGGUAAUCAAAAAAUCCCUAGACCAUCUUCCUCAAUAGGAGAAAUACUGUCCGGGCGCCACGUGCUGGGUUCUUUUUUCUCGGGCCGGGUGUUAUAAACCUUCAAAAAGGGAACCCAGCACACCCAAGGAUAGCUCAGCUAUUACCUUUGGAGGCAAAUAAUGAGCAGGAUGGCUUCUGCUGCAGUGUUAGAAACAAAAAGGUUUAAUAAAAGGCAAAAUGACAAACAGAAAAUCCGAUCCAGGUACAGCAGUCUGCCACUGGUAUAAACACCUUCACAAAAGCCUCGUGGUCCUUUUGUCCUCCUCUUUUCUACUUGAUGGGCCAGGCAGGACCUUUUCGCUUCUAUCCAAUUAGGUGACCCCAAGGUUUUAGUGAAGCCUCUGGGGUCUUAUGAGGUGGCUUUUCACCUGAUAGUUGGGAGAAACUUCUGGGCUUUUUUACUUUUUUGGGGGACAAAGGCUAGCUUUGCCACUCUGUCAUUAGGGGGGCACUCUCCUACACCUCCCCACUGGGGAACAGCUCCAUCUGAUCCAGCUGUCCCUCUUCCUUUCUCCAGAAAUGAAAGGAGAGCCUGUGCAGAAGGAAGCAUUUCCCAGAGGAAGCAGUGCUUCCAUGCCAGCCUCUGCUGCAGGAAGGGAGGCGAUGCCAGGCACAGGCACAGGAGAUUGGGAUCGUGACUUGCAUCAUUUGGAAAUGCUGGUAAACCAUGGUUUAAGGAUCUUGGAGCUUGAUGAUGCUGAAGUUGAUGAAGAUGAUGCUGUUGAUGAAGAUGAUCGGGAUUCCCAGCCCAUACCCAUUACUGAGCCUCUGGGAGAUGCUGAGGGUGUGUCUGCAGGGAGGACUUCUCCUGCUCCUUUGCUGAUCCCUACACAGAAGCCUGGCUCCCAUCGCAGAGGUCCCCUGAGAAUGGAGAACAAACUUAGAGGAGACACUAAGUCCUGGAGGCAUCCAAACACAUGGAGGAGAUGCCGAGUGAUCUGGAGAGACGCCAUGGUGGGUGCAUUUCCCUCAUGCUUCCCCUGGGACUCAGCAGCCGGGGCCUUUGGCUGCACAUCUGGACACGCCGUGCCCGGAACAGCGGGAAGGGAUCCAUGGCAGCCUCGCUGCCCCGCUGCUGCUGCUGCUGCUGCUUUGACACCCUGCAGGGCUGUUUCCCAACCUGGCCUGGCUGUAGCCUUUUCCCAGCCCCUGCAGGAAGGCAUUGGGCAUUAGCUGACAGGCAGCCCAAACUGCACCAUGUGCCUGAGAUCCCCUGAAAUUUCAUAGUCUCCAGGAUGAUCACUAAGGGUGGGUAUUAUGAUGAAGAUGGGCCCUGGUCUACCCAGAAAAUUGUGUGGAUUCCUGAUCCUUAACCAUGACUUUCACAAGUACUGGCUGCUGAAGAUGCCACCUCCCCAGUGGGGAACAGCCCCACCUGAUCCAGCCGUCCCUCUUCCUUUCUCCAGAAGUGGAUGGAGAGGCAGGGCAGAAGGAAGAAUUUCCCAGGAGAAGCAGUGGCUCCAUGCUAGCCUCUGCUGCAGGAAGGGAGGCCAUGCCAGGCA
Molecule: long non-coding RNA, 2555 nt
Organism: Passer domesticus (house sparrow)
Lineage: Eukaryota; Metazoa; Chordata; Aves; Passeriformes; Passeridae
Exons: 5
Source: RefSeq, a predicted model, not a curated record